This is an RNA transcript of Lagenorhynchus albirostris (white-beaked dolphin), 4055 nucleotides long. It is a transcript of the gene named NRDE-2, necessary for RNA interference, domain containing, with no coding region annotated. The transcript has 14 exons. The record is from RefSeq and is a predicted model, not a curated record. NCBI's taxonomy places the organism in Eukaryota, Metazoa, Chordata, Mammalia, Artiodactyla, Delphinidae.
AGGCGGUGUGGCCUGUGAACAUGGCGCUGUUCCCCGCCUUUGCGGGUGUUAGUGAGGAGCCCGAAAGCGGGAGCCCCAGGAAAGAAUUAGACUGGCUGAGCAACCCAAGCUUUUGUGUUGAAACCAUAACAUCUCUGAGCCAACAAACUGAAGAGGUCACAGCCUUUGUUUCUGAAGAGUUGCUACUGACCAGGAGUCCUCUGAAUUCAGAGCCUUCAGAUGAAAGUGACACUAACAAAAAGCCCAAACAAACAAGCAGAAAAAAGAAGAAAGAGAAAAAGAAGAAAAGGAAGCAUCAGCACCACAAGAAAACCAAGAGAAAACGUGGGCAGUCAAGUAGCAGUGGAUCUGAGUCAUAUACUGAUUCUGAAAAAGACAUAUCUUCCAGAAGCAUCAGAAGCAGUAAAAAGGAAUCAGAGAAACCGAAUCAAGAAAAUAAUGCCACUGCUGAUAUUGGACGUCACUUUGUUUGGCUUGAGGACAUUCAGGCUCUGACGGGAGAAACCUUCAGAACAGAUAAGAAGCCGGAUCCUGCAAACUGGGAGUAUAAGUCUCUUUACCGAGGAGAUGUAGCAAGAUACAAGAGGAAAGGAGACUCCUGCCUUGGCAUUAACCCUAGGAAGCAGUGUAUAUCUUGGGAGGGGACUUCCACAGAAAAGAAGCGGUCACACAAGCAUGUCGAGCGCUACUUUACAAAGAAGAGCGUGGGAUUAAUGAACAUUGACGGAGUUGCCAUUAGCAGUAAAACUGAACCUCCCUCAUCAGAGUCGAUCUCAUUUAUCCCAGUGAAGGGUGCAGAGGAUGUGGUUUCCCCUGUUACAACCUGGUUGAACCCUCUGGGGAUUUAUGAUGAAGCCACCACGCAGUGGUUACAAGGCCGGGGUCCUUCAGAGCAAGAAUCCAAGCAGCCAGAUUCACAGCCCAACAGAGACAACGUGCUUCUCAAGGCCAAGGUGGAGGAGUUUAACAGGAGGGUUUGGGAGAAUCCUCGGGACAUUCAGCUGUGGAUGGCAUUUGUUGCUUUUCAGGACGAGGUCAUGAGGAGUCCGGGCCUGUAUGCCAUCGAGGAAGGACAGCAGGAAAAGCGGAAGCGGUCCCUGAAGCUGGUUCUGGAGAAGAAGCUGGCCAUUCUGGAACGGGCCGUGGAAAGCAACCCGAGCAGCGUGGAUCUGAAACUUGCCAAGCUGCAGCUCUGCACCGAGUUCUGGGAGCCCUCCACUCUGGUCAAAGAGUGGCAGAAACUGAUAUUUUUACAUCCCAACAAUACAGCCCUUUGGCAGAAAUACCUUUUAUUUUGCCAGAGCCAGUUUAGCACCUUUUCCAUAUCAAAAAUUCAGAGUCUUUAUGGAAAAUGCUUGAGUACUUUGUCUGCUGUUAAGGACGGCAGCAUCUUGUCUCACCCUGAGCUGCCUGGCACUGAGGAGGCCAUGUUUGCCCUCUUUCUUCAGCAGUGCCACUUUCUGCGUCAGGCUGGUCACUCCGAGAAGGCUGUCUCUCUGUUCCAGGCCAUGGUUGACUUCACCUUCUUCAAACCCGACAGUGUGAAAGACCUGCCUACCAAAGGACAGGUAGAAUUCUUUGAGCCCUUUUGGGACAGUGGAGAGCCCAGGGCCGGGGAGAAGGGCGCCCGAGGCUGGAGAGCGUGGAUGCAGCAGCAGGAGCGGGGCGGCUGGGUGGUCGUCAGCCCAGAUGAUGACGAUGAUGAACCAGAAGACGACGACCAGGAAAUUAAAGAUAAGACUCUGCCCAGGUGGCAGAUCUGGCUUGCUGCUGAGCGGUCCCGAGACCACAGACACUGGAGGCCGUGGCGCCCUGAGAAGACCAAGAAGCAGGCGGAGGAAGACUGUGAGGACCCGGAGAGGCAGGUGUUGUUUGAUGAUAUUGGACAGUCUCUGAUCCAGCUUUCCAGCCCGGAUCUUCAGUUUCGGCUGAUUGCAGCCUUUCUGCAGUUCUUGGGUGUGCCUUCCGGCUUCAGCCCUCCGGCCUCCUGCCUCUAUCUGGCCAUGGAUGAGAACAGCAUCUUUGACAAUGGACUUUAUGAUGAAAAGCCCUUGACUUUUCUCAACCUUUCAUUUUCCGGCGUCAGCUGUGUCGGACGCACAGACCAGCUGGGUUGCCGGCACUGGACCAGGGGUCACAGUCGAGAGGGCGAGGAGUUCAUCCGCAGCAUCUUCCACCUCGUGAUGCCUUUGUUUUCAGGCAAGGAGAGGUCUCAGCUCUGCUUCUCCUGGUUACGGUACGAGAUUGCAAAGGUCGUUUGGUGUCUGCGCACUAAAAACAAGAAGAGAUUAAAAUCACAAGGAAAGAACUGCAAAAAACUAGCCAAGAAUCUCCUCAAGGAGCCAGACAACCGCAACAAUUUUUGCCUCUGGAAGCAGUAUGCGCAUCUGGAGUGGUUGCUCGGCAACACAGAGGAUGCCAGAAGAGUUUUCGAUACAGCACUCGGCAUGGCAGGGAGCAGAGAACUGAAGGACCAUGAGCUGUGUGAGCUCGGUCUCCUCUAUGCCGAGCUGGAGGUGGAGCUGUUGCCGGACGUGAGAGGGGCUGCCCCAGCCCGAGCCAUUCACGUAUUGACCAGACUGACCGAGAAUGGGGCCUACGGGCCCUACACUGGGCAAGUCUUGGCCGUUCACAUUUUGAAAGCUCGGAAGGCUUAUGAACACGCGCUGCAGGACUGUUUGGGGGAGAACUGUGUCUCUGAUCCAGCUCCCGCCGAUUCCUUUAGCCGCCUGAUUAGCCUGGUUAAAUGCUUCAUGCUCUUCCAGUAUUUGACCAUAGGGAUCGACGCUGCUGUGCGGAUAUAUGAGCAGGUAUUUGCGAAACACAAGGUCUCUGUUUCCGCAGAGGGCCCUGGUCUGGAGGGCAGUGCCAGCCCCCCGAGCCUGAGCAGUGUCCUUGAGGCCGUCACCCUGAUGCACACGAGCCUGCUUAGAUUCCACAUGAAAGUCGCCGUCUACCCUCUGGCUCCUCUGCGAGAGGCUCUCUCGGAGGCUUUAAAGUUGUAUCCGGGCAACCAGGUUCUUUGGAGGUCGUAUGUACAGAUUCAGAAUAAGUCCCACAGUGCCAGUAAGACCAGAAGAUUCUUCGAUGCGAUCACCAGGUCUGCCAAACCCUUGGAGCCGUGGUUGUUCGCAAUUGAAGCUGAGAAAAUGAGGAAAAGACUAGUGGAAACUGUGCAGAGGGUAGAUGGUAGAGAGGUCUACGCCACCAUUCCCGAGACCGGCCUGACACAUCGGAUCAGAGCCCUGUUUGAAAAUGCGAUGCGGAGUGACUACGGCAGCCAGUGCCCCUUACUGUGGAGGAUGUAUUUGAAUUUUUUGCAAAGGCGUUUUCCAGUGGCUGACUGAUGAAGGAGAUAGCAGAGGGCAGUUCUCAUUUGAGGCUAGCCAACUUACGUACCUGGAUUUGCUGGAUUCCAGGGUUAACUCUGCGGACGCCCGCCUGGGGAGCUGCCCGGUGGGUUGUGACUCCCUGGAGGAGGGGCAGAUCCCUCCCUGGGACUUGGGAGAGGCCCGGGGAUAUGGAGGGGAGGACACACGCUGCUCCAGCUUCCACAGCAGGUGUGGAAAAAGCGCCUGUCUGUGAGUUGAUACAAGAUAUAAGGAUUUUAUCAGUAUAAAAAUGUGCUUAGAUGAAAAACGUGCUGAAUAUCUGCAUGCUCUCAGACUGAAAUUUUUGACCGGAAAUUUGCUUUUGAUAAGGUUACUGAUUCAGUAAUCCUGGUCACCUCAUUUCUCUAAGAUAGUUCUCAAAAAAUGGCAAGUAUUAAAGCAAAUAUUUUCUCUGUGUAAAGUUAUCACCCUCACCUCGUGCACAGGCCUCGUUCUAGGCACUCUUAGUAAUGCCAGGUGUGAUGGCCCAGUGAUGGAGGAGAUGAAAACAAGUCAGAAGUGUUAAAGGUCAACUCCAGGCCCACUGAGACACAGCAGUGGCCCCUGAGGGCAUCCCGUGGUACAUGGACCCAUACCACCCAUCAGCCACUGUGGCAGUGCCCCGGGUGGAUCAGUACCGGGAUGGCCUUGGAUUCUCUUUUGUCAUUUUUGUAUUUUUUUCCC